GGAAUUUCUAACCGGCUUUGGUUUCAGUAAUGUCCUCGACUUGGCUUACACAUAUCUUGAAGCCUAUGUGAAAAAAAAGUUCUUCGAAAUGAAGCUUAGGAACAAAAGGCGCCCCGCCACAUUUGGAUUUGUACACAAGCUAGUCCAGCUACCAGGAACCGAGGGAAUUCAGAAGAUUUUAAAUGUGGAUGGGUACGAAGGGACAGUCAGAAAUAGGAGAUGUAAGGAAGCUUUGGUUCGGGAUGUAGUCGCACUACUUGUAUUCAACAAACUGCACAUAUCUUUACCAGCAGCAAGGCGAAGAUGCUGUCAAACUGAACAUUCAUCGUUACACACGGCACUUAAAAUAAGUGAACAAUUAAGAGCACACCGCUUAAUCAGCAGUACUGAAUCGUAACUGGCAUGCUGUGUACGUAAAUAAUAGAUGACUG
Long non-coding RNA from Liolophura sinensis, 431 nucleotides. RefSeq lists it as uncharacterized. The record is from RefSeq and is a predicted model, not a curated record. NCBI's taxonomy places the organism in Eukaryota, Metazoa, Mollusca, Polyplacophora, Chitonida, Chitonidae. The transcript has 4 exons.